GAUGAACGCUGGCGGCGUGCCUAAUACAUGCAAGUCGAGCGAACAGACGAGGAGCUUGCUCCUUUGACGUUAGCAGCGGACGGGUGAGUAACACGUGGGUAACCUACCUAUAAGACUGGGAUAACUUCGGGAAACCGGAGCUAAUACCGGAUAAUAUUUCGAACCGCAUGGUUCGAUAGUGAAAGAUGGCUUUGCUAUCACUUAUAGAUGGACCUGCGCCGUAUUAGCUAGUUGGUAAGGUAACGGCUUACCAAGGCAACGAUACGUAGCCGACCUGAGAGGGUGAUCGGCCACACUGGAACUGAGACACGGUCCAGACUCCUACGGGAGGCAGCAGUAGGGAAUCUUCCGCAAUGGGCGAAAGCCUGACGGAGCAACGCCGCGUGAGUGAUGAAGGUCUUCGGAUCGUAAAACUCUGUUAUUAGGGAAGAACAAACGUGUAAGUAACUGUGCACGUCUUGACGGUACCUAAUCAGAAAGCCACGGCUAACUACGUGCCAGCAGCCGCGGUAAUACGUAGGUGGCAAGCGUUAUCCGGAAUUAUUGGGCGUAAAGCGCGCGUAGGCGGUUUUUUAAGUCUGAUGUGAAAGCCCACGGCUCAACCGUGGAGGGUCAUUGGAAACUGGAAAACUUGAGUGCAGAAGAGGAAAGUGGAAUUCCAUGUGUAGCGGUGAAAUGCGCAGAGAUAUGGAGGAACACCAGUGGCGAAGGCGACUUUCUGGUCUGUAACUGACGCUGAUGUGCGAAAGCGUGGGGAUCAAACAGGAUUAGAUACCCUGGUAGUCCACGCCGUAAACGAUGAGUGCUAAGUGUUAGGGGGUUUCCGCCCCUUAGUGCUGCAGCUAACGCAUUAAGCACUCCGCCUGGGGAGUACGACCGCAAGGUUGAAACUCAAAGGAAUUGACGGGGGCCCGCACAAGCGGUGGAGCAUGUGGUUUAAUUCGAAGCAACGCGAAGAACCUUACCAAAUCUUGACAUCCUUUGACCCUUCUAGAGAUAGAAGUUUCCCCUUCGGGGGACAAAGUGACAGGUGGUGCAUGGUUGUCGUCAGCUCGUGUCGUGAGAUGUUGGGUUAAGUCCCGCAACGAGCGCAACCCUUAAGCUUAGUUGCCAUCAUUAAGUUGGGCACUCUAAGUUGACUGCCGGUGACAAACCGGAGGAAGGUGGGGAUGACGUCAAAUCAUCAUGCCCCUUAUGAUUUGGGCUACACACGUGCUACAAUGGACAAUACAAAGGGCAGCGAAACCGCGAGGUCAAGCAAAUCCCAUAAAGUUGUUCUCAGUUCGGAUUGUAGUCUGCAACUCGACUACAUGAAGCUGGAAUCGCUAGUAAUUCGUAGAUCAGCAUGCUACGGUGAAUACGUUCCCGGGUUCU
RNAcentral lists this ribosomal RNA (1374 nucleotides) under uncultured bacterium. RNAcentral's name for it is "bacterial SSU rRNA". It matches the Rfam family "Bacterial small subunit ribosomal RNA", at positions 28 to 1382 of the family's 1533-position model. The record is from RNAcentral.